Molecule: ribosomal RNA, 365 nt
Filed under: uncultured bacterium
Lineage: Bacteria
Description: partial 16S ribosomal RNA
Rfam family: Bacterial small subunit ribosomal RNA
Source: RNAcentral
CCUACGGGAGGCUGCAGUGAGGAAUAUUGGUCAAUGGGCGCGAGCCUGAACCAGCCAAGUAGCGUGAAGGAUGACUGCCCUACGGGUUGUAAACUUCUUUUAUAAAGGAAUAAAGUGAGGCACGUGUGCCGUUUUGUAUGUACUUUAUGAAUAAGGAUCGGCUAACUCCGUGCCAGCAGCCGCGGUAAUACGGAGGAUCCGAGCGUUAUCCGGAUUGAUUGGGUUUAAAGGGAGCGUAGAUGGGUUGUUAAGUCAGUUGUGAAAGUUUGCGGCUCAACCGUAAAAUUGCAAUUGAUACUGGCAGUCUUGCGUACAGUUGCGGUAGGCGGCAUUCGUGGUGUAGCGGUGAAAUGCUUCGCUCUCAC